Molecule: ribosomal RNA, 1406 nt
Filed under: Campylobacter coli
Lineage: Bacteria; Pseudomonadati; Campylobacterota; Epsilonproteobacteria; Campylobacterales; Campylobacteraceae
Description: partial 23S ribosomal RNA
Rfam family: Bacterial large subunit ribosomal RNA
Source: RNAcentral
UCCGUAUAACAAUACUCCGAGAACUGAAAGGCUUUUUGAAGUCUUCGGAUGGAUAGAAGAACCCCUGAUGCCAUCGAGCCAAGAAAAGUUUCUAAGUUUAGCUAAUGUUGCCCGUACCGUAAACCGACACAGGUGGGUGGGAUGAGUAUUCUAAGGCGCGUGGAAGAACUCUCUUUAAGGAACUCUGCAAAAUAGCACCGUAUCUUCGGUAUAAGGUGUGGUUCGCUUCGUAUUAGGAUUUACUCCGAAAGCGAAGAAACUUACAACAAAGAGUCCCUCCCGACUGUUUACCAAAAACACAGCACUCUGCUAACUCGUAAGAGGAUGUAUAGGGUGUGACGCCUGCCCGGUGCUCGAAGGUUAAUUGAUGGGGUUAGCAUUAGCGAAGCUCUUGAUCGAAGCCCGAGUAAACGGCGGCCGUAACUAUAACGGUCCUAAGGUAGCGAAAUUCCUUGUCGGUUAAAUACCGACCUGCAUGAAUGGCGUAACGAGAUGGGAGCUGUCUCAAAGAGGGAUCCAGUGAAAUUGUAGUGGAGGUGAAAAUUCCUCCUACCCGCGGCAAGACGGAGAGACCCCGUGGACCUUUACUACAGCUUGACACUGCUAUUUGGAUAAGAAUGUGCAGGAUAGGUGGGAGGCUUUGAGUAUAUGACGCCAGUUGUAUAUGAGCCAUUGUUGAGAUACCACUCUUUCUUAUUUGGGUAGCUAACCAGCUUGAGUUAUCCUCAAGUGGGACAAUGUCUGGUGGGUAGUUUGACUGGGGCGGUCGCCUCCCAAAUAAUAACGGAGGCUUACAAAGGUUGGCUCAGAACGGUUGGAAAUCGUUCGUAGAGUAUAAAGGUAUAAGCCAGCUUAACUGCAAGACAUACAAGUCAAGCAGAGACGAAAGUCGGUCUUAGUGAUCCGGUGGUUCUGUGUGGAAGGGCCAUCGCUCAAAGGAUAAAAGGUACCCCGGGGAUAACAGGCUGAUCUCCCCCAAGAGCUCACAUCGACGGGGAGGUUUGGCACCUCGAUGUCGGCUCAUCGCAUCCUGGGGCUGGAGCAGGUCCCAAGGGUAUGGCUGUUCGCCAUUUAAAGCGGUACGCGAGCUGGGUUCAGAACGUCGUGAGACAGUUCGGUCCCUAUCUGCCGUGGGCGUAAGAAGAUUGAAGAGAUUUGACCCUAGUACGAGAGGACCGGGUUGAACAAACCACUGGUGUAGCUGUUGUUCUGCCAAGAGCAUCGCAGCGUAGCUAAGUUUGGAAAGGAUAAACGCUGAAAGCAUCUAAGCGUGAAGCCAACUCUAAGAUGAAUCUUCUCUAAGCUCUCUAGAAGACUACUAGUUUGAUAGGCUGGGUGUGUAAUGGAUGAAAGUCCUUUAGCUGACCAGUACUAAUAGAGCGUUUGGCUUAUCUUUAAUAAAGCAU